UAGGCGACCGGGUGAGUAACGCGUGACUAACCUACCCUCGAGUGGGGAAUAACUCCGGGAAACCGGGGCUAAUACCGCAUAACAUCUUCGGAACGCGAGUUCUGUUGAUCAAAGGAGCAAUUCGCUUGAGGAGGGAGUCGCGGCUGAUUAGCUAGUUGGCGGGGUAAUGGCCCACCAAGGCUUAGAUCGGUAGCCGGCCUGAGAGGGCGCACGGCCACACUGGAACUGAAACACGGUCCAG
RNAcentral lists this ribosomal RNA (241 nucleotides) under uncultured bacterium. Its description in RNAcentral is "partial 16S ribosomal RNA". It matches the Rfam family "Bacterial small subunit ribosomal RNA", at positions 95 to 334 of the family's 1533-position model. The record is from RNAcentral.